Molecule: transfer RNA, 71 nt
Filed under: Otolemur garnettii (small-eared galago)
Lineage: Eukaryota; Metazoa; Chordata; Mammalia; Primates; Galagidae
Rfam family: tRNA
About the family: Transfer RNA (tRNA) molecules are approximately 80 nucleotides in length.
Source: Rfam by way of RNAcentral
GGGCCUGUGGCUCAAAGUAGGGCACUGGCCCCAUAUGCCAGAGGUGGCAGGUUCAAACCCAGCCUUGGCCA